This 253-nucleotide ribosomal RNA is filed under the name uncultured bacterium. RNAcentral describes it as "partial 16S ribosomal RNA". It matches the Rfam family "Bacterial small subunit ribosomal RNA", at positions 524 to 776 of the family's 1533-position model. The record is from RNAcentral.
UACGUAGGGGGCAAGCGUUGUCCGGAAUCAUUGGGCGUAAAGCGCGUGUAGGCGGCUCGGUAAGUCCGCUCUGAAAGCCCGGGGCUCAACCCCGGGAGGCGGGUGGAUACUGCUGAGCUCGAGUCCGGAAGAGGAGUGUGGAAUUCCUGGUGUAGCGGUGAAAUGCGUAGAUAUCUGGAGGAAUACCGGUGGCGAAGGCGGCAUCCUGGACCGACAUUGACGCUGAGGAGCGAAAGCUAGGGGAGCAAACGGG